This 392-nucleotide ribosomal RNA is filed under the name uncultured bacterium. Its description in RNAcentral is "partial 16S ribosomal RNA". It matches the Rfam family "Bacterial small subunit ribosomal RNA", at positions 523 to 918 of the family's 1533-position model. The record is from RNAcentral.
AUACGGAGGAUCCGAGCGUUAUCCGGAUUUAUUGGGUUUAAAGGGUGCGCAGGCGGCCAUUUAAGUCAGCGGUUAAAUCGUGGGGCUCAACCCCAUUCUGCCGUUGAUACUGGGUGGCUUGAUUGCGGUCGAGGUUGGCGGAAUUCGUUGUGUAGCGGUGAAAUGCAUAGAUAUGACGAAGAACACCGAUUGCGUAGGCAGCUGACCAGACCGCAAAUGACGCUCAUGCACGAAAGUGCGGGGAUCGAACAGGAUUAGAUACCCUGGUAGUCCGCACAGUAAACGAUGAAUGCUUGUUUUCGGCGAUAUAAUGUCGGAGGCAAAGCGAAAGCGAUAAGUAUUCCACCUGGGGAGUACGCCGGCAACGGUGAAACUUAAAGGAAUUGACGGGG